Molecule: long non-coding RNA, 398 nt
Filed under: Trifolium pratense (red clover)
Lineage: Eukaryota; Viridiplantae; Streptophyta; Magnoliopsida; Fabales; Fabaceae
Description: long non-coding RNA (TPRA_LNC006745)
Source: RNAcentral
UUCAGAAUACCUGGCUCUCCUGUCUAGGAGAGCUUAUAUAGUGCCCCCAGCGCUGGGCCAAAGGUUGGUCUAUUGGGCCGGGAUAACCGGCCCAAUAGACUCAACUGCCAAGAUAGUCCCUGUAUCGUAGGGGAAGGCCGUUAUUUGCCUCUAUCUUGGUUGGAGUCGUUCCGCUAUUCGCGGGUAAGGGAUAAGCUCCGUGACAGCUGUGGCUGGAUAAAGGAGCACGUGCUAAACGUGCUGCUUAGCUGUUAAGCUACGGUUGAAUGGAUCAGCAUGCAUGGUUAGACGAGCACGUGUUUAACGUGCUGCCUACCCAUCAUGUCGAGCAAGGCACGUCAUUGGUUGACGUGUCGGGGAAGUCUCCCCUUAUUGGGCUGUGCCCCAAAUGUCGGGCA